AGCGAACGCUGGCGGCAGGCUUAACACAUGCAAGUCGAGCGCCCCGCCAGGGGAGCGGCAGACGGGAGAGUAACACGUGGGAACAUACCUUUUGGUUCGGAACAACUGAGGGAAACUUCAGCUAAUACCGGAUAAGCCUUACGGGGAAAGAUUUAUCGCCGAAAGAUUGGCCCGCGUCUGAUUAGCUAGUUGGUGAGGUAACGGCUCACCAAGGCGACGAUCAGUAGCUGGUCUGAGAGGAUGAUCAGCCUCACUGGGACUGAGACACGGCCCAGACUCCUACGGGAGGCAGCAGUGGGGAAUAUUGGACAAUGGGGGCAACCCUGAUCCAGCCAUGCCGCGUGAGUGAUGAAGGCCUUAGGGUUGUAAAGCUCUUUUGCCCGGGAAGAUAAUGACGGUACCGGGAGAAUAAGCCCCGGCUAACUUCGUG
Molecule: ribosomal RNA, 430 nt
Filed under: uncultured bacterium
Lineage: Bacteria
Description: partial 16S ribosomal RNA
Rfam family: Bacterial small subunit ribosomal RNA
Source: RNAcentral